GAUGAACGCUGGCGGCGUGCCUAAUACAUGCAAGUCGAGCGAACAGACGAGGAGCUUGCUCCUCUGACGUUAGCGGCGGACGGGUGAGUAACAUGUGGAUAACCUACCUAUAAGACUGGGAUAACUUCGGGAAACCGGAGCUAAUACCGGAUAAUAUAUUGAACCGCAUGGUUCAAUAGUGAAAGACGGUUUUGCUGUCACUUAUAGAUGGAUCCGCGCCGCAUUAGCUAGUUGGUAAGGUAACGGCUUACCAAGGCAACGAUGCGUAGCCGACCUGAGAGGGUGAUCGGCCACACUGGAACUGAGACACGGUCCAGACUCCUACGGGAGGCAGCAGUAGGGAAUCUUCCGCAAUGGGCGAAAGCCUGACGGAGCAACGCCGCGUGAGUGAUGAAGGUCUUCGGAUCGUAAAACUCUGUUAUUAGGGAAGAACAAAUGUGGAAGUAACUAUGCACGUCUUGACGGUACCUAAUCAGAAAGCCACGGCUAACUACGUG
Molecule: ribosomal RNA, 497 nt
Filed under: uncultured bacterium
Lineage: Bacteria
Description: partial 16S ribosomal RNA
Rfam family: Bacterial small subunit ribosomal RNA
Source: RNAcentral